This 484-nucleotide ribosomal RNA is filed under the name uncultured bacterium. Its description in RNAcentral is "partial 16S ribosomal RNA". It matches the Rfam family "Bacterial small subunit ribosomal RNA", at positions 28 to 523 of the family's 1533-position model. The record is from RNAcentral.
GACGAACGCUGGCGGCGUGCUUAACACAUGCAAGUCGAACGAUGAAGCUAGAGCUUGCUCUGGUGUAUUAAUGGCGAACGGGUGAGUAAGACGUGAGUAACCUGCCCCGAACUGUGGGAUGACUGCUGGAAAAGGUAGCUAAUACCGGAUAUGACCAAUGAAGGAAUCUGCUGUUGGUGGAAAGAAUUUCGGUUCGGGCUGGACGGGCGGCCUAUCAGCUUGUUGGUGAGGUAACGGCUCACAAAGGCGACGACGGGUAGCCUGCCUGAGAGGGUGGUCGGCCACACGGGGCCUGCGACACGGCCCAGACUCCUACGGGAGGCAGCAGUGGGGAAUAUUGCACAAUGGGCGCAAGCCUGAUGCAGCAACGCCGCGUGAGGGACGACGGCCUUCGGGUUGUAAACCUCUUUUAGUAGGGAAGAAGCGAAAGUGACGGUACCUGCAGAAAAAGCACCGGCUAACUACGUGCCAGCCGCCGCCGUAA